UGAGCUACAAUGCAGCUGUGGCGGUAAUUCGGAGCAAAAUUUAGGGUUGCAGGCGCCGCAAUCUAUUCAUCAUCUAUCUUCUCUGGAAUUUUGGUUUUUGGUUAAUUUGUCAUCUUUUCAAUUCGUUUCGCUUAGAAAAUACGAUGCAAUGAAGAGAAACAGGGAAAUAAUCAUCGAUUGUGGCUCGCUCCGCAACAUGAUACGUUUCGCCCUUAUGUAUUAGGAAUGCGAAGGUCCCAGCAGGGGGCGAUUACUCUUGUUGUUGAGGCCUCUCUAACAAUCAAAUUCGAUUUCCUUCGCAUAGCUAUUCGCCGAAUCGUAGGAUGCCCAAAUUUUCUUCAAUUUUGGUGCGUCUUGAACCUUCGGCUAUAUCUUAUAUUUUUCUUUAAAAUAAAUCGUGUGUUUUGCAUAAAAAUAAUUCACUCCAUUAUUUUUUUCA
Vigna unguiculata (cowpea) is the source of this 439-nucleotide long non-coding RNA. The record is from RefSeq and is a predicted model, not a curated record. NCBI's taxonomy places the organism in Eukaryota, Viridiplantae, Streptophyta, Magnoliopsida, Fabales, Fabaceae.